Oryza punctata is the source of this 107-nucleotide non-coding RNA. Lineage: Eukaryota; Viridiplantae; Streptophyta; Magnoliopsida; Poales; Poaceae. The record is from Rfam.
AUCCCAUGAUGAGGACAUGCGGCGAUGUAUUCCUGCAAUCUUUCCCACGCUUCCGGGAUCGUCUCAUAUUUUAUCUGCUGGAAGCUGGAUAUUCUUCCACGAAGGGC